RNAcentral lists this long non-coding RNA (342 nucleotides) under Malus domestica (apple). RNAcentral describes it as "long non-coding RNA (MDOM_LNC012222)". The record is from RNAcentral. Lineage: Eukaryota; Viridiplantae; Streptophyta; Magnoliopsida; Rosales; Rosaceae.
AAAACUCUCGAAUUCCAAUGAGGGAUAUGGAAUUUGCCAAAAAUAGUGGGUGGUGCUAUUUGAUUUAAAGACCUGAAUCAAAUGGCUUAAAAUCAAUCAAUUUAUAUUCGUUAUGUAUUUACUUACCAUUAUAUUUGCAAACACUAUCCCACACUUGACAAAUAAAAGCCGAAUGCUUUAGUUUCCGGACUUGGUACAACAAUCCCAAAGAUUGUCUUAAAUGGAUUGUAGAAGUACCUAAGUAGUCUCAUCCUCACAAUCUUCCUAUUGAUAAUGUAUCAUUGGAAGAACAUGUUAGAUAAAGUCUAUAAUAAAGAGGACAACACUUUUAAUGUCAUAAUU